Molecule: ribosomal RNA, 200 nt
Filed under: Klebsiella pneumoniae subsp. pneumoniae KPNIH6
Lineage: Bacteria; Pseudomonadati; Pseudomonadota; Gammaproteobacteria; Enterobacterales; Enterobacteriaceae
Description: partial 16S ribosomal RNA
Rfam family: Bacterial small subunit ribosomal RNA
Source: RNAcentral
ACUUAAAUUGAAGAGUUUGAUCAUGGCUCAGAUUGAACGCUGGCGGCAGGCCUAACACAUGCAAGUCGAGCGGUAGCACAGAGAGCUUGCUCUCGGGUGACGAGCGGCGGACGGGUGAGUAAUGUCUGGGAAACUGCCUGAUGGAGGGGGAUAACUACUGGAAACGGUAGCUAANACGCAUAAUGUCGCAAGACCAAAGU